Molecule: long non-coding RNA, 1447 nt
Organism: Limulus polyphemus (Atlantic horseshoe crab)
Lineage: Eukaryota; Metazoa; Arthropoda; Merostomata; Xiphosura; Limulidae
Exons: 2
Source: RefSeq, a predicted model, not a curated record
AAAGCCACAUUGGGCUAACUGCUAUGCCCUCGUCGGGGAAUCGAACCCCGGAUUUUAGCGCUGUAAGUCCUUGGACUUACCGAUGUCAUACCAGCGGACAUUUCGCUUGCGUGUAACGUUCUAGUUAGGGUCCCCCUGGAAAGUUAUUGGUCAAAGAUGGGAACCUGAAAUGCCAACUUCAAGUCACCAUUUCUUCAGAAAAGUUGUAACCGUACUGUUGCAGAGAUUCAAGAGUGAACUGGCGCUAUAGUCAGGGAGAUCAAGAUUCAUUCAAAAUUUUGGACAGAAUGCAGGCUACAACCAUCGAUCACUUAAGGACCGGCCACCUAAACCUCCGAACCCAUUUGAAGAAAAUUAGUUUUGCAGACACAGCACUGUAUGUUUGCAGACAAAGCAGAUCAGACCCAGGCAUAAAACUUUAUAACUGCCCCCUUUACACCAUCUAGAGACUUCGGACCUGACCAGAGGGGGCAGAAAUACACAAAAAGCUGUGAGGAUCAGUAGCGGACUUUCAUCUGACCUCCCAAUUCGUGACCUCCAACAAACUGAAGAUCUAACGAUCAGCUGAACGCUGGAGAAGAACAAAUAUAAACUCUUUCUCUGAAAUUAAAAACCCUGUCGUUGGACUGUGACCCCGAACUUUCUCCUUGCUGUUAAAAGCUAAAAUGAAUAGUACCGUUGGAUAAUUAUACAUCUGCGUACAGCUAAACAUCGUUAAGUGUGUGUGUGGUGGGGGGUGGGGGGGGGGGAAAUCAGCAUGCAUGUAGCACACUGUUUAAUGAAACAAAAAUAUUAGCAUAAAAAAUGUCAUCUUAAGCUUGAAAUUAAUAAAACACACACUGGAGGCGAGUCUUCCAUUGUCUCUCUACGAUCCAAAGUUCCAAAACAAUAUAGGAAUAAUACAUUGUAACAUUUACUGAACCCAGCUAUAGUUAAAAAAAAAUAGUUUUUUCUGUUUCGUAAUCUUAUAUAAAUUUUCGUUUUAUAUAACCGUGUUUUUUUACUUUAUUUUUGAUAACUACAUUAUUUUUCUUGCAUUUACUCAAAUUACACUUUUUAUGAUAAACAGCGAAUCAUUUUUAUACUGUUAUAAGCUACUUUUUUUUUUCUAAUGUUGUAAUCUAAAUUUAAUGUCGUAAUGAUGAUGUUAAAAUCAGAUAGGCCUAGAACACCUGGAAAAUUUUAGGGGAUUUGAACUCAAAUUUUCAGAACAUUCGAUGGAAGAUUAUAAAUAAUAGCCGGUAGAGUGAAUCAGUAAAUAUUUUUUUACGUUUUUGAUCAGUUAGUUAUAGCGUAUAGUUACUUUGCACAAAUGAGGGUUUGUUUUGUUUGUUUUUUACGUUAGUGUAGUGCAGUUAGCGUCAUAUAUAAAUGUCGCUUAAAAUCUCCCACAGUGUUCAGACGUGUAAAAACUGAAGGAAUAAAUUAAACUAAAUUUGUUAUCGUU